RNAcentral lists this ribosomal RNA (431 nucleotides) under uncultured bacterium. Its description in RNAcentral is "partial 16S ribosomal RNA". It matches the Rfam family "Bacterial small subunit ribosomal RNA", at positions 29 to 507 of the family's 1533-position model. The record is from RNAcentral.
AACGAACGCUGGCGGCAGGCCUAACACAUGCAAGUCGAGCGCCCUUUCGGGGGAGCGGCGGACGGGUGAGUAACGCGUGGGAAUAUGCCCUUCUCUACGGAAUAUCCUCGGGAAACUGAGAGUAAUACCGUAUACGCCCUGUGGGGGAAAGAUUUAUCGGGGAAGGAUUAGCCCGCGUUGGAUUAGGUAGUUGGUGGGGUAAUGUCCUACCAAGCCGACGAUCCAUAGCUGGUUUGAGAGGAUGAUCAGCCACACUGGGACUGAGACACGGCCCAGACUCCUACGGGAGGCAGCAGUGGGGAAUCGUAGACAAUGGGGGCAACCCUGAUCUAGCCAUGACGCGUGAGUGAUGAAGGCCUUAGGGUUGUAAAGCUCUUUCAGCUGGGAAGAUAAUGACGGUACCAGCAGAAGAAGCCCCGGCUAACUCCGUG